AUUGAACGCUGGCGGCAGGCCUAACACAUGCAAGUCGAACGGUAACAGGAAGAAGCUUGCUUCUUUGCUGACGAGUGGCGGACGGGUGAGUAAUGUCUGGGAAACUGCCUGAUGGAGGGGGAUAACUACUGGAAACGGUAGCUAAUACCGCAUAACGUCGCAAGACCAAAGAGGGGGACCUUCGGGCCUCUUGCCAUCGGAUGUGCCCAGAUGGGAUUAGCUAGUAGGUGGGGUAACGGCUCACCUAGGCGACGAUCCCUAGCUGGUCUGAGAGGAUGACCAGCCACACUGGAACUGAGACACGGUCCAGACUCCUACGGGAGGCAGCAGUGGGGAAUAUUGCACAAUGGGCGCAAGCCUGAUGCAGCCAUGCCGCGUGUAUGAAGAAGGCCUUCGGGUUGUAAAGUACUUUCAGCGGGGAGGAAGGGAGUAAAGUUAAUACCUUUGUUCAUUGACGUUACCCGCAGAAGAAGCACCGGCUAACUCCGUG
RNAcentral lists this ribosomal RNA (490 nucleotides) under uncultured bacterium. RNAcentral's name for it is "partial 16S ribosomal RNA". It matches the Rfam family "Bacterial small subunit ribosomal RNA", at positions 30 to 507 of the family's 1533-position model. The record is from RNAcentral.